This 900-nucleotide ribosomal RNA is filed under the name Vibrio sp. L-2-6. RNAcentral describes it as "bacterial SSU rRNA". It matches the Rfam family "Bacterial small subunit ribosomal RNA", at positions 45 to 928 of the family's 1533-position model. The record is from RNAcentral. Lineage: Bacteria; Pseudomonadati; Pseudomonadota; Gammaproteobacteria; Vibrionales; Vibrionaceae.
GGCCUACACAUGCAGUCGAGCGGAAACGACAUUAACAAUCCUUCGGGUGCGUUAGUGGGCGUCGAGCGGCGGACGGGUGAGUAAUGCCUGGGAAUAUGCCUUGAUGUGGGGGAUAACCAUUGGAAACGAUGGCUAAUACCGCAUAAUGCCUACGGGCCAAAGAGGGGGACCUUCGGGCCUCUCGCGUCAAGAUUAGCCCAGGUGGGAUUAGCUAGUUGGUGAGGUAAUGGCUCACCAAGGCAACGAUCCCUAGCUGGUCUGAGAGGAUGAUCAGCCACACUGGAACUGAGACACGGUCCAGACUCCUACGGGAGGCAGCAGUGGGGAAUAUUGCACAAUGGGCGCAAGCCUGAUGCAGCCAUGCCGCGUGUAUGAAGAAGGCCUUCGGGUUGUAAAGUACUUUCAGUCGUGAGGAAGGUAGUGUAGUUAAUAGCUGCAUUAUUUGACGUUAGCGACAGAAGAAGCACCGGCUAACUCCGUGCCAGCAGCCGCGGUAAUACGGAGGGUGCGAGCGUUAAUCGGAAUUACUGGGCGUAAAGCGCAUGCAGGUGGUUCGUUAAGUCAGAUGUGAAAGCCCGGGGCUCAACCUCGGAACUGCAUUUGAAACUGGCGGACUAGAGUACUGUAGAGGGGGGUAGAAUUUCAGGUGUAGCGGUGAAAUGCGUAGAGAUCUGAAGGAAUACCAGUGGCGAAGGCGGCCCCCUGGACAGAUACUGACACUCAGAUGCGAGAGCGUGGGGAGCAAACAGGAUUAGAUACUCUGGUAGACCACGCCGUAAACGAUGUCUACUUGUAGGUUGUGGCCUUGAGCCGUGGCUUUCGGAGCUAACGCGUUAAGUAGACCGCCUGGGGAGUACGGUCGCAAGAUUAAACUCAAUGAAUUGACGGGGGCCCGCACAA